Molecule: transfer RNA, 85 nt
Filed under: Streptomyces cellostaticus
Lineage: Bacteria; Bacillati; Actinomycetota; Actinomycetes; Kitasatosporales; Streptomycetaceae
Description: tRNA-Thr
Source: RNAcentral
GCUGCAACUGGAUGGCGGCGACCUCCUCGCUGGUGACGAAGUUCUCGCCGUAGUAGGCGCCCUCGUUCCAGGUGGGGUAGCGGCC